CCUACGGGAGGCAGCAGUGAGGAAUAUUGGUCAAUGGGCGGGAGUCUGAACCAGCCAAGCCGCGUGAGGGAAGAAGGCACAGCGUAUUGUAAACUUCUUUUGUCAGGGAAUAAAGGCGGGGACUAGUCCCCGGAUGCGGGUACUUGAAGAAAAAGGAUCGGCUAACUCCGUGCCAGCAGCCGCGGUAAUACGGAGGAUGCGAGCGUUAUCCGGAUUUAUUGGGUUUAAAGGGUGCGUAGACGGGCUGUUAAGUCAGUGGUGAAAGUUUGGGGCUCAACCGUAAGAGUGCAUUUGAUACUGGCAGUCUUGAGUACAGUAGAGGUAGGCGGAAUGCGUGGUGUAGCGGUGAAAUGCUUAGAUAUCGCGAAGAACCCCGAUUGCGAAGGCAGCUUACGAAACUGUGACGGACACUGAGGCUCGAAAGUGUGGGUAUCAAACAGGAUUAGAUACCCGGGUAGUC
Molecule: ribosomal RNA, 460 nt
Filed under: uncultured bacterium
Lineage: Bacteria
Description: partial 16S ribosomal RNA
Rfam family: Bacterial small subunit ribosomal RNA
Source: RNAcentral